Molecule: ribosomal RNA, 433 nt
Filed under: uncultured bacterium
Lineage: Bacteria
Description: partial 16S ribosomal RNA
Rfam family: Bacterial small subunit ribosomal RNA
Source: RNAcentral
AGCGAACGCUGGCGGCAGGCUUAACACAUGCAAGUCGAGCGGGCACUUCGGUGUCAGCGGCAGACGGGUGAGUAACACGUGGGAACGUACCCUUUGGUUCGGAAUAACGCUGGGAAACUAGCGCUAAUACCGGAUACGCCCUUUUGGGGAAAGGCUUGCUGCCGAAGGAUCGGCCCGCGUCUGAUUAGCUAGUUGGUGGGGUAAUGGCCUACCAAGGCGACGAUCAGUAGCUGGUCUGAGAGGAUGAUCAGCCACACUGGGACUGAGACACGGCCCAGACUCCUACGGGAGGCAGCAGUGGGGAAUAUUGGACAAUGGGCGCAAGCCUGAUCCAGCCAUGCCGCGUGAGAGAUGAAGGCCUUAGGGUUGUAAAGCUCUUUUGUCCGGGACGAUAAUGACGGUACCGGAAGAAUAAGCCCCGGCUAACUUCGUG